Molecule: long non-coding RNA, 898 nt
Organism: Coccinella septempunctata (seven-spotted ladybird)
Lineage: Eukaryota; Metazoa; Arthropoda; Insecta; Coleoptera; Coccinellidae
Exons: 3
Source: RefSeq, a predicted model, not a curated record
CGGUUUGACUAUUCACGGCAAGACGAUUGAGAUCGGAUUUACAAUAAACAAGUUCACCUAAUCUACUCCAGGUGGCGUAUACUUGGCUAAUGCUCCCACUCUAUGGUCCGCGUUGACGUAUGUCCGCUUCGAUGGUGCUGUCGAAGCUCUAUGUUCUAUCAGCUAACCUCCAAAGUUGAAUUGUCAAACUUCGCCGGGUGGUUCCACACUUCGAUUUCCAUUUCCAUCGGUGAAGGAAAUGCCGGAAAAUAGUGGAAACAGUGCAGGACGGAAUCUUCAAAGGUGGACUUCGCAAAGCCGGCUCCGGGCACAUGUCAUGGGGGUUAACAGUUACUAAUAUCGUCCAACCAGGGUAGUUUGGAAUACUGGACAGCGUCGUUGACUCCCCCUGUGACGGUGGUGAGCUUCUCCGAGGGUGUUGGAGUCAGCAGCAGUUGGAGGUUGCAUAAAAAUGAGAGAAAAAGCAUUUAGCAUACUGAUAUCCUGGAGCAGAGGGAUAACAGGGUGUUCGGUGGAAUUUCGGAAGAAACGGUGUGUGGGAUACCACUUACCCACUGGAUGACAGUCAGACGGUCCUGUUUGAUGGCAAUAAAGCUGCACAGAACAAACAAAAACUGUACGGAACAGAAUCUUCCAACACUGGCAGACCAGGUUAGAUUUAUCGGUUAUGGUGGAAUCGCGGAAAUCUAGGUAUGUACAUUCUGGCAGUUAAUAAGGAGAUACAAGUAUAAGGCUCUAUUUCACUCACCUGAGCCCUUAUUCAGUGAAAGCAACGGUAGUACCCCAUUAUUUACCUAUUUUCGGUGAUGAAUAUUUUUAACGGUAAUAGAGGAGUGAAAUAGAGACGGACAGAACGGAUGUAUCUCAUUUAUUAUCGGUAAUCAGUACAAUAUAACGG